UAGGGAAUCUUCGGCAAUGGACGAAAGUCUGACCGAGCAACGCCGCGUGAGUGAAGAAGGUUUUCGGAUCGUAAAACUCUGUUGUUAGAGAAGAACAAGGGUGAGAGUAACUGUCCACCCCUUGACGGUAUCUAACCAGAAAGCCACGGCUAACUACGUGCCAG
Molecule: ribosomal RNA, 164 nt
Filed under: uncultured bacterium
Lineage: Bacteria
Description: partial 16S ribosomal RNA
Rfam family: Bacterial small subunit ribosomal RNA
Source: RNAcentral